Hippocampus zosterae (dwarf seahorse) is the source of this 1300-nucleotide long non-coding RNA. RefSeq lists it as uncharacterized. Lineage: Eukaryota; Metazoa; Chordata; Actinopteri; Syngnathiformes; Syngnathidae. The transcript has 2 exons. The record is from RefSeq and is a predicted model, not a curated record.
GUACAUUAACUGAACCAUAUUUCAAUAGAAAUAAAAUUACACAAACAGCGUUUUUCAUUCCAAUACCAUAGAUGUAUUUAUUUAUUCAUUCAUUUUCCCAUCCGCUUUAUCCUCACAACGGUCGCGGGGGGUGCUGGAGCCUAUCCCAGCUUUCUUCGGGCAGCAGGUGGGAGACACCCAGCCAAUCACAGGGCACACAGAAAUGAACACCCUUCCACACUCACAUUCACACCUAGAGACAAUUUGAAGUGUCCCAUUAGCCUGCAAUGCAAAUUUUAGAAAUGACGGAGGAAUCCGGAGUACCCGUAGAAAACCCACGCAGGCCCGCGGAGAACAUGCAAACUCCACGUAGGGAGGCCGCAGCUGGAAUUUAACCCGGUACCUCUGCACUAGGAGGUUGACGCGCUAACCACUGGACCCCCAGGCCACUUGAUUUAUUUAUUAUCUUUUUUUGCCCCCUCUUUUCAUGCCUUGAACACAUCAUUGUUUUACUCUCAAAUACGUUCAAACCUUUAAAUAUACAAACAACAGUUAAUAUAAGGUUCCAUUUCUAACAUCUGAAACGGCCAAGCAACAUAAAUAGAAACAGUCCCUUGACUGACUUCAAUCCCUUUAUUCUGCCAGAACUCAGCACAAUUAUUGCUGUUGCAAAGUAGGCCAUAAAAGUUUGAUGAACAUCUUCGUGUGUUUUAAUAACAACAAACCCAUUGGUUUCACAAGAUCUCAGUUUAUUUCUUCUCCUCUUUCUGACAGUUACUGAGACAAUGUAGCGAUAAUUGCACUUAGAGGUGCUGAUGUUUAGUGUCCGGGUACACAUUGACAUGCUUACAAAGUGUAAUUACGCUUUCAGUUGACGAAAUGUGCCAAGUGUUUGUUUGCGUCAUAUGUAUAUCAACAUGCUCUGCUCAUAUUAAUAAUUUUUAUAUUCUCCUUUCACACAAUCAUCAAGGUCAAUUAAGUGUAGUGAAAUACAUGGCAGAAGGUGUUUGUGUCUUUGUUACGGAUCCCGACCAGCUCUUAUACAAGACCCGGUUGAAGAUUUUAGGAAGGUAUUCUUGUGCCUGUUUCUUCUCCCUGCCGCUACCCUGAGCUAGUCUGUCUCCCCAAGUGAUUCAAGUGAUAAAAGUGCUUUACUUCAGUGAGUUCUGAGCCCAUUAUUUCCUGUCCUUAUUCCACAACAAAUGAACGACAUGGUUGUCUGGAUAAUGUUUUUACCCACCGCGGCCAUCGGGUGGCAACACACAUCCAGACAUGAAGCCACAAUGUCUCCACCACUCCCACCCCCAACCUCCCACAACCC